GGUAGAAGGGUUUUUUAGACUGUGAGACUAAGGAAAGGUAGUGGGGUACUAGGCAGACCAGGCUUAAGCAGAGAGUUAAUGACAGAGAAGAGCCGCCCUACAAAGAUGAGGCGAUGGCUUGCCCCGUGUGGAUCCCUACGGCAGAGCAGGAACUUGGCAGGAGCUCAUGGUGACAAAGACACAUUAUCUUAUCACCCCCCAGAGACGGCCUCCAGCCCUGAGCUUAAUGGGGUUGGCAAGGAAGAAUCAGGGAACUGAAGAGUGUGUAGCUUUGCUGGACUGUGACUGCACCUACUGGAAGAUGGGCAAGUAACCCCAGAGCUCUCUACCACCCUUUAGCUCCAAUAAGGAUUACAUUUCUCCAGAUGCAUGGGUAUUUUUAAGCCAAAAAUGAGAACAGGAACACAUCCACUAUGGAAAGAGAUAAGCUUUGGACUGCUUAGACAGCAGAAGAUCCAAAGAAACUAAAUUCCAGGACAAAAUAUCACCCUGAGGAGUUCGGGGAGGUGGGAGGGGGGGAGGGCGGGGUGUGGAAUUCUUAAUCUCUGUGAGAUGACAGACUGCAAUUGAUUACCUCAGCAAAUGGAAUUACCUGGGACUUGGUCUCAAAAAUCAAGAGACGCACUUGUUUUAGGCUUCAUAAUUUUUUUUUAAUCACCUAUUACAGGUAUCAGUUUGCCAACCAAGUUCCGUAUAAUCGCAGCUAUGUUUUUUCCAGUAGUCAUGUACAGAUGUGAGCUGAACCUCAAAGAAGGCUGAGCACUGAAGAAUUGAUGGUUUCAAAUUGUGGUGCUGGAAAAGACUCUUGAGAGUCCCUUGGGCAGCAAGGAGAUCAAACCAGUUAAUCCUAAAGGAAAUCAAUCCUAAAUAUCCAUUGGAAGGACUCGUGCUGAAGCUGAAGCUCCAAUACUGUGGCCACCUGAUGUGAAGAGCUGACUCAUUGGGAAAGACCCUGAUGCUGGGAAAGACUGAAGGCAGGAAGAGCAGGGGCAACAGAGGAUGAGAUGGUUGGAUGGCAUCACUGACUCAAUGGACAUGACUUUGAGCAAACUCCGGGAAAUAGUGAAGGACAGGGAAGCCUGGCAUGCUGCAGUCCAUGGAGUCACAAAGAGUCUGUCACGACUUAGCAACUGAACAACAGCAACAACAACUUUGUCAACUGAAGAUUUGGCACAAUAUGUGAUUUUGAAAAGAAUGUAUCCAAAAUAAAGGCAGCGUUUCUAUAGAGAUGCAGCCUGAUGUAGCAGAAAGAGCAUGGAUUUGGGGGCCAAAACUGUGGGAUGAAAUCUGAAAUCUUCAUCUUGCCUCCUUUGAUAUCUUACGUUAAGUUACUUACUGUCUCUGAUUCCCCGCCCCUCCCCCCUUUUUUUCAUCUGGGGAUAUGAAAACCUACAUACUAUUUUGUGGUGAGGAUUAAAUGAGAUACUGCUAUGAAUGUGCUGGGCUCAGAAUAGACAUGUUAAAUGACAGCUCCUAACAUCAUAUUGUAGGGUUUGGGGAUAUAAUCUGAAUCCUGAAAUUCUCAAAUGUCCUCAAGGGACUUCAUUUUUUCCUUCUUAGAUAUAGAAUUGGGAGGUGGGGACAAGGAUGAAGUAAUUGGAGAAUUAUUUUAAAAUAAAAAGAGAGCACCAAAGUUUAUUUAUUUUUUAAAUAUAAAUUUAUUUUAAUUGGAGGCUAAUUACUUUACAAUAUUGUAUUGGUUUUGCCAUACAUCAACAUGAAUCCGCCACAGGUAUACACGUGUUCCCCAUCCUGAAGCCCCCUCCCUCCUCCCUCCCCAUACCAUCCCUCAGGGUCAUCC
Molecule: long non-coding RNA, 1801 nt
Organism: Capra hircus (goat)
Lineage: Eukaryota; Metazoa; Chordata; Mammalia; Artiodactyla; Bovidae
Source: Ensembl